RNAcentral lists this ribosomal RNA (440 nucleotides) under uncultured bacterium. Its description in RNAcentral is "partial 16S ribosomal RNA". It matches the Rfam family "Bacterial small subunit ribosomal RNA", at positions 338 to 795 of the family's 1533-position model. The record is from RNAcentral.
CCUACGGGGGGCAGCAGUAGGGAAUUUUGCUCAAUGGGGGAAACCCUGAAGCAGCAACGCCGCGUGGAGGAUGAAGGUUUUCGGAUUGUAAACUCCUUUUGUUAGAGAAGAUAAUGACGGUAUCUAACGAAUAAGCACCGGCUAACUCCGUGCCAGCAGCCGCGGUAAUACGGAGGUUGCAAGCGUUACUCGGAAUCACUGGGCGGAAAGAGCGCGUAGGCGGGUUAGCAAGUCAGAUGUGAAAUCCUAUGGCUUAACCAUAGAACUGCAUUUGAAACUGUUAUUCUAGAGUAUGGGAGAGGUAGGUGGAAUUCUUGGUGUAGGGGUAAAAUCCGUAGAGAUCAAGAGGAAUACUCAUUGCGAAGGCGACCUGCUAGAACAUAACUGACGCUGAUGCGCGAAAGCGUGGGGAGCAAACAGGAUUAGAUACCCUUGUAGUC